RNAcentral lists this transfer RNA (58 nucleotides) under Myotis davidii. Lineage: Eukaryota; Metazoa; Chordata; Mammalia; Chiroptera; Vespertilionidae. The record is from Rfam by way of RNAcentral.
UGGCUCAGUGGAUUGAGCGUUGGCCUACGGACUCAAGGGUCCCUGGUUCGAUUCCAGG